UACGUAGGGACCGAGCGUUGUCCGGAAUCAUUGGGCGUAAAGAGCGUGUAGGCGGCCCCUUAAGUCCUGCGUGAAAUCCUGCGGCUCAACCGCAGACGGUCGUGGGAAACUGGAGGGCUAGAGUGCGGGAGAGGAGAGUGGAAUUCCCGGUGUAGCGGUGAAAUGCGCAGAUAUCGGGAAGAACACCCGUGGCGAAGGCAGCUCGCUGGGACGGUACUGACGCUGAGGCGCGAAAGCGUGGGGAGCGAACAGG
RNAcentral lists this ribosomal RNA (253 nucleotides) under uncultured bacterium. RNAcentral describes it as "partial 16S ribosomal RNA". It matches the Rfam family "Bacterial small subunit ribosomal RNA", at positions 524 to 776 of the family's 1533-position model. The record is from RNAcentral.